This 348-nucleotide ribosomal RNA is filed under the name Escherichia coli. RNAcentral's name for it is "partial 23S ribosomal RNA". It matches the Rfam family "Bacterial large subunit ribosomal RNA", at positions 1396 to 1746 of the family's 2925-position model. The record is from RNAcentral. Lineage: Bacteria; Pseudomonadati; Pseudomonadota; Gammaproteobacteria; Enterobacterales; Enterobacteriaceae.
GCGAGGCCGAAAGGCGUAGUCGAUGGGAAACAGGUUAAUAUUCCUGUACUUGGUGUUACUGCGAAGGGGGGACGGAGAAGGCUAUGUUGGCCGGGCGACGGUUGUCCCGGUUUAAGCGUGUAGGCUGGUUUUCCAGGCAAAUCCGGAAAAUCAAGGCUGAGGCGUGAUGACGAGGCACUACGGUGCUGAAGCAACAAAUGCCCUGCUUCCAGGAAAAGCCUCUAAGCAUCAGGUAACAUCAAAUCGUACCCCAAACCGACACAGGUGGUCAGGUAGAGAAUACCAAGGCGCUUGAGAGAACUCGGGUGAAGGAACUAGGCAAAAUGGUGCCGUAACUUCGGGAGAAGG